GACGAACGCUGGCGGCGUGCUUAACACAUGCAAGUCGAACGGAAAGGCCCUGCUUUUGUGGGGUGCUCGAGUGGCGAACGGGUGAGUAACACGUGAGUAACCUGCCCUUGACUUUGGGAUAACUUCAGGAAACUGGGGCUAAUACCGGAUAGGAGCUCCUGCUGCAUGGUGGGGGUUGGAAAGUUUCGGCGGUUGGGGAUGGACUCGCGGCUUAUCAGCUUGUUGGUGGGGUAGUGGCUUACCAAGGCUUUGACGGGUAGCCGGCCUGAGAGGGUGACCGGCGAAAUUGGGACUGAGAUACGGCCCAGACUCCUACGGGAGGCAGAAGUGGGGAAUAUUGCACAAUGGGCGGAAGCCUGAUGCAGCAACGCCGCGUGCGGGAUGACGGCCUUCGGGUUGUAAACCGCUUUCGCCUGUGACGAAGAGUGAGUGACGGUAAUGGGUAAAGAAGCACCGGCUAACUACGUG
RNAcentral lists this ribosomal RNA (468 nucleotides) under uncultured bacterium. RNAcentral's name for it is "partial 16S ribosomal RNA". It matches the Rfam family "Bacterial small subunit ribosomal RNA", at positions 28 to 507 of the family's 1533-position model. The record is from RNAcentral.